This 437-nucleotide ribosomal RNA is filed under the name uncultured bacterium. Its description in RNAcentral is "bacterial SSU rRNA". It matches the Rfam family "Bacterial small subunit ribosomal RNA", at positions 8 to 477 of the family's 1533-position model. The record is from RNAcentral.
AGAGUUUGAUCCUGGCUCAGAAUCAACGCUGGCGGCGCGCCUAACACAUGCAAGUCGAACGAGAAAGUGGAGCAAUCCAUGAGUAAAGUGGCGUACGGGUGAGUAACACGUGGAUCAUCUGCCUUUUAGUGGGGAAUACCGCUGGGAAACCGGCGACAAUACCGCAUAAGCUCGAGAGAGGAAAGCCGUAAGGCGCUGAAAGAGGAGUCCGCGGUCGAUUAGCUAGUUGGUAGGGUAAUGGCCUACCAAGGCUGUGAUCGAUAGCCGGCCUGAGAGGGCACACGGCCACACUGGCACUGAAACACGGGCCAGACUCCUACGGGAGGCAGCAGUGGGGAAUCUUGCACAAUGGGGGAAACCCUGAUGCAGCGACGCCGCGUGAGCGAUGAAGCCCCUCGGGGUGUAAAGCUCUUUCGGCAGGGACGAUAAUGACGGUA